UACAGAGGGUGCAAGCGUUAAUCGGAAUGACUGGGCGUAAAGAGCGCGUAGGUGGUUGAAUAAGUCAGAUGUGAAAGACCUGGGCUUAACCUGGGGGUGUCAUUUGAUACUGUUUAACUAGAGUACAGGAGAGGAAGGUAGAAUUUCCGGUGUAGCGGUGAAAUGCGUAGAGAUCGGAAGGAAUACCAGUGGCGAAGGCGGCCUUCUGGCCUGAUACUGACACUGAGGCGCGAAAGCGUGGGGAGCAAACAGGAUUAGAUACCCUGGUAGUCCACGCUGUAAACGAUGAUAACUAGACGCUGGUAGGGGUAAAGCUCUGUAAGUGUUGAAGCUAACGCGAUAAGUUAUCCGCCUGGGGAGUACGGUCGCAAGAUUAAA
RNAcentral lists this ribosomal RNA (378 nucleotides) under uncultured bacterium. RNAcentral describes it as "bacterial SSU rRNA". It matches the Rfam family "Bacterial small subunit ribosomal RNA", at positions 524 to 898 of the family's 1533-position model. The record is from RNAcentral.